AGAUUAAUAUCGUAUUUGUAAUAUUUUUAAUAUGUAAAUGUAUGUAUUAUGUUAAUUUUAAUAGAAUUUUAUGUACAUUUAAUACAUCCUCUAUAGGCAGACCGCUCCUAUUGAUCCUCUAUGAGAACCAAUUUCCUGUUCUUUAACAGGAUAUUUAUUGCCCCAUUUACGUCUCUGUCUCUUUUCUGUUUACAUUUUGGACAAUCAUAGACUUUCGAAGUUCCUAAUUUUGCAUGAAUAUAUCCACAAUUACAGCAGGUUUUACUUGUCCAAGCUUCAUUCACCUCUAAAUAUUGGCAAUUAAACUCCUCGCACUUCUGCUGGAGGCGUUGCCUAAAUCUGUAAUGGGAUAUUUUUCCUACACUAAUAAGUUUGACUGUUAUUACCAAAUGUUUAUAGAUAAUAUUAGAUACAUUCAAAAUAAUAGAAACAAUAAAUUUAUGGAAAAAUAUUGGUGAAAUUAAGACUAGUUUA
This 474-nucleotide small RNA is filed under the name Acanthamoeba polyphaga mimivirus. RNAcentral's name for it is "uncharacterized ncRNA". The record is from RNAcentral. Lineage: Varidnaviria; Bamfordvirae; Nucleocytoviricota; Megaviricetes; Imitervirales; Mimiviridae.